UGAGUAACCUGCCCUAGACUUUGGGAUAACCCUCGGAAACGGGGGCUAAUACCGGAUACGACAACUCAUCGCAUGGUGUGGUUGUGGAAAGUUUUUCGGUCUGGGAUGGGCUCGCGGCCUAUCAGCUUGUUGGUGGGGUGAUGGCCUACCAAGGCGACGACGGGUAGCCGGCCUGAGAGGGCGACCGGCCACACUGGGACUGAGACACGGCCCAGACCUCCGUACGGGAGGCA
RNAcentral lists this ribosomal RNA (233 nucleotides) under uncultured bacterium. RNAcentral's name for it is "partial 16S ribosomal RNA". It matches the Rfam family "Bacterial small subunit ribosomal RNA", at positions 118 to 350 of the family's 1533-position model. The record is from RNAcentral.